RNAcentral lists this ribosomal RNA (253 nucleotides) under uncultured bacterium. Its description in RNAcentral is "partial 16S ribosomal RNA". It matches the Rfam family "Bacterial small subunit ribosomal RNA", at positions 524 to 776 of the family's 1533-position model. The record is from RNAcentral.
UACGGGGGGUGCAAGCGUUAUUCGGAAUUAUUGGGCGUAAAGCGCGCGUAGGCGGUAUCGUAGGUCAGAUGUGAAAUCCCGGGGCUCAACCCCGGAAGUGCAUUUGAAACCCCGAUACUUGAGUAUGGGAGAGGGAAGUGGAAUUCCAGGUGUAGAGGUGAAAUUCGUAGAUAUCUGGAGGAACACCGGUGGCGAAGGCGACUUCCUGGACCAAUACUGACGCUGAGGUGCGAAGGCGUGGGGAGCGAACGGG